UGCGGAAUGCUAUAUGCUAUCUAGGAAUUAGUCUAAAACAAUUAAAAACUAUCCUAUGAAACUUUAGCAUCAGAGAAAAGUGCUAAGGGUUGUGAAAAACCAUGCACCUCCCAGAUGCAUUCAUUUGAUGCUUUGUGUGAUAUGGCAAGGAGUUUUUGGUUCCUAUUAAUUCAAAGGCUAUGGUAAUGGCACCUUACAAAACUAAGUGUAGCAGAUCAUUGUUGCUCUAUUCAAGUGAGGAGUGAUUUAGAAGAAAAAUUGCAAAACAAAAUGGUUGGCACUACUUGGUAGGGUGUCUACUCCAUCGUAAAAGAAGUGAAGUAAACAAGAUAAAAGGGUACUGAUAUUGGGUUUAUAUCAGGUAUGCAUACCAAGCAUGGUAUAACCAUCAUCUAUUAGUUGCUACUGUUUAUUGCAGAAAUUAAUAUAUAAUGAUACAAAGAUAUUGCACAAUGUAGCAUAACUUACAUGGAGAUGUCUCCGUUUUUCUAUCGCAGUGGUGUAAGGAGUAGAUCCACGUAGUAGAAAACGAAUUUCUUCAUUACAAAUAUUCUUCACAGUUUGAGUUGAUCUUUUUAUUUGUGUAUAAAACAUAUGAUGGAUGAUAUUUUCGGCUAUAGAUGAAAUUCUAGCUGAAAAUUAAAUAUGAUACCAUGCAUUACCUUUCUUCAAUCGAAUGGAGGAAUCCUGGGACAAGUGAGUUGCUUCAUGUGUGUGAGGCACCCUAAAUUAUUUGAUUUCUUCACCGUAUUAACUAAUUAUAACUCAUAUAUAGCUUAUGCCAGUUUUGUUUUCAGAUCAAACCAGCUUCAUGUGACGCUACUUCUAGAAGAGCUAAGACUUAAGACGCUAUCUCUACUUGGGAACAAAAUGGGAUGAGUCUAAGGUUAAACUUCAGAAGUGUAAACCGGCUCCCAUAAAUAUGAAUGGUGUUGCAGACCUGGUAUUUCCGUUACGCCAUUUGUGACAUGCCCUAUAUGGGGCGUUAGAGAAAGUGUGGAUAAAUAUUAUGC
This is a long non-coding RNA of Lolium perenne, 1013 nucleotides long. RefSeq lists it as uncharacterized. NCBI's taxonomy places the organism in Eukaryota, Viridiplantae, Streptophyta, Magnoliopsida, Poales, Poaceae. The record is from RefSeq and is a predicted model, not a curated record.